UAAUGCUCCAUAGUGGAUAUGUCCUGGAAUGGUAUAUCCUCGAAAGAUCCGUCGCCUUAGGAUGGGACUGCGUCCGAUUAGGUUGUUGGCGGGGUAACGGCCCACCAAGCCAUUGAUCGGUACGGGUUGUGGGAGCAAGAUCCCGGAGAUGGAUUCUGAGACAUGAAUCCAGGCCCUACGGGGCGCAGCAGGCGCGCAAACUUUACAAUGCGAGCAAUCGUGAUAAGGAAACCCUGAGUGCCUGUCGAUGCAGGCUGUUCAUAUAUCUAAAUCAUAUGUGAAGAAAGGGCAGGGCAAGACCGGUGCCAGCCGCCGCGGUAAUACCGGCUGCUCGAGUGAUGGCCACUAUUACUGGGUUUAAAGCGUCCGUAGCUUGACUGUUAGGUCUCUUGGGAAAUCUUCACGCUCAACGUGAAGGCGUCUAAGAGAUACCGGCAGUCUUGGAACUGGGAGAGGUAAACCGUACUUCGGGGGUAGGAGUGAAAUCUUGUAAUCCUCGAGGGACGACCUAUGGCGAAGGCAGUUUACCAGUACAGCUUCGACAGUGAGGGACGAAAGCUGGGGGAGCAAACGGGAUUAGAUACCCCGGUAGUCCCAGCCGUAAACAAUGUGCGUUAGGUGU
This 622-nucleotide ribosomal RNA is filed under the name uncultured archaeon. RNAcentral's name for it is "bacterial SSU rRNA". It matches the Rfam family "Archaeal small subunit ribosomal RNA", at positions 147 to 774 of the family's 1478-position model. The record is from RNAcentral.